This 500-nucleotide ribosomal RNA is filed under the name uncultured bacterium. RNAcentral describes it as "bacterial SSU rRNA". It matches the Rfam family "Bacterial small subunit ribosomal RNA", at positions 30 to 524 of the family's 1533-position model. The record is from RNAcentral.
AUUGAACGCUAGCGGGAUGCCUUACACAUGCAAGUCGAACGGCAGCACGGACUUCGGUCUGGUGGCGAGUGGCGAACGGGUGAGUAAUGUAUCGGAACGUGCCUAGUAGCGGGGGAUAACUACGCGAAAGCGUAGCUAAUACCGCAUACGCCCUACGGGGGAAAGCAGGGGAUCGCAAGACCUUGCACUAUUAGAGCGGCCGAUAUCGGAUUAGCUAGUUGGUGGGGUAACGGCUCACCAAGGCGACGAUCCGUAGCUGGUUUGAGAGGACGACCAGCCACACUGGGACUGAGACACGGCCCAGACUCCUACGGGAGGCAGCAGUGGGAAUUUUGGACAAUGGGGGAAACCCUGAUCCAGCCAUCCCGCGUGUGCGAUGAAGGCCUUCGGGUUGUAAAGCACUUUUGGCAGGAAAGAAACGUCAUGGGUUAAUACCCCGUGAAACUGACGGUACCUGCAGAAUAAGCACCGGCUAACUACGUGCCAGCAGCCGCGGUAAU